RNAcentral lists this transfer RNA (59 nucleotides) under Cyrtodactylus sp. 12. RNAcentral's name for it is "tRNA-Ala". The record is from RNAcentral. Lineage: Eukaryota; Metazoa; Chordata; Lepidosauria; Squamata; Gekkonidae.
AGGUCGCUUAAAUAAAGUGGAGUUGCAGUCAGGUGAUGUGGUCGAUUCACAGGCCUUCA